RNAcentral lists this long non-coding RNA (1738 nucleotides) under Homo sapiens (human). RNAcentral's name for it is "HSALNT0301719". Lineage: Eukaryota; Metazoa; Chordata; Mammalia; Primates; Hominidae. The record is from RNAcentral.
ACCAACUUGAUUCUUUUGAGGUUUGUUUUUAGCACAGGUCUGCAGUAGCCUCAGUCUAGCCCUAAUACUUCUGGGGUCUUUUCUGAAUGCCCUGCUUGUUCUGAGAUUUCUACACCACAAUUGGACUGGGGAAGUGUUAGAGGAAGAUUACGACACUGCUACUCCAUGCCAAAACGUUACACUACGGCUCUGCAGACUGAAGAUUGCCUCACAAGCAGAAAUAUACUCUUUCCAACAAACACUGGUGGAAUGAAAAGGACAUUGGAUUCCUGCUUCCAGUUACUGCUUGCCCUUCCCUGACUUUGUGACCUGAGGUGAUUGCAUCCUUUGAAAGCCUGUUUGCAUAGCAGACAAUGAAGCUGAGCAGAGAAAAACAAGAUGAGAGACAGAUGGAGUAGGAGACCUGAGAAGAUGGCUUGAGUCCAUGAAUUCUGGUGUUCCCUAGGCCACAUUUGCCCCCAUCCUUCCCAGAUUUUACUUUCUACUCUUGUCAGUCAUAUCUGCAAGGCUGACAGUUACCAGGGGCUGUGGCCAGGCAUGAGGGAGAAUGUGUCAUUGCUGGCUGCGUUGGUCAUAGCAACGUGUCUGCCUCAGAACAGAUCCAGCAUGGAUGAGCAAACAGAAAAAUGUGUAAGAAGGCUUGUGACUGAAACAGACCAAGGGUGAGAGAACCUUUGUGGGAGCGCAGAAGUCCAGCAGAGAGACCCUAGCACUUUAUUUGGACCAAAAAAUAAAUAAUAAAUAAAUAAAUAAAUAAAUCCAAAACUAGAUGCAUUAAAGAAGGUAAGAACAGUUUUACUUUACCUGUGUCACCCCUCCCCCAGUGUGGCACAGAUCAGUGCCAAGAGAGACCGCUUCAGCCCAGUUUCUUCCACAGGGGAAAAUGAGAACAGUGAGUGCCUAAUUUCCUCAGCUGUAGGAUGCUGUAGAAGAGACCCACUUCUGCCUCACCCAUUUGAGAACCCUGAGGGAAUCAGUAUGGCUGAAUAAUCUGGGGGUAGCUAGGAGCAGGGAAAAGGGGCAGCACUCACAGCAACCUGAGUAUGGAAUUCAGCAAAGAGCCACAGUUUCUAUUAACUACCUCCCAAAUUCCAUCAAGAGGGCCAGCCACAAACUACAUAGGAUGCAUAAUCUGCAGAUCCCCUGACUAGCCCAUGUGUGCUUCCAACCUUCUGCAUGCCCUUCCCCCAUGUAGCUGGCACCCUGAAUGCACCCCCAUGGAUAGCAUGUACAAGCUUCUGCAGAUUGUGCAUGAGAACAUGAAGAUAACUAACUUGAUUCAGGAUUGGAAGGAAGUGACUAAUCUUGAAUUUUUCAAGGCACUUCCUAGGGAAGAUAAACAGGAGGCUUACAUUGCACCUGGCCUGACUUUUGCAAGAUCAAGAGAAGGAAUAUGCUGUAAUUUGAAUGAAAAUUUAACAUUUAAAAUUUAUGUUGAAGCUGAAUACUCAAUGCAAUAGUACUAAGAAGUCUAACCUUUGGGAGGUGAUUAAGUCAUGAUGACUCUUCUCACUUGAAUGGGAUGAGCACUCAUAAAAGAUGUCAAGGUUUAUGGGAGUUCUCUUUUGCCCUUCCAUCCCUUCUGCCAGGUUAGACUUCUCCUAUGGAGAAUGCAGCAAGAAAAUACCAUCUUGAAGCAGAGAGCAGCGCUCAUCAGGCAUCAGUCCUUCUGGAGCCUUGAUCUUGGACCUCCCAGCUCCAAAAUAAUAAGUAAUAAAUUGUUAUUGCUUAUAAAUUA